Molecule: ribosomal RNA, 497 nt
Filed under: uncultured bacterium
Lineage: Bacteria
Description: partial 16S ribosomal RNA
Rfam family: Bacterial small subunit ribosomal RNA
Source: RNAcentral
GAUGAACGCUGGCGGCGUGCCUAAUACAUGCAAGUCGAGCGAACGGACGAGAAGCUUGCUUCUCUGAUGUUAGCGGCGGACGGGUGAGUAACACGUGGAUAACCUACCUAUAAGACUGGGAUAACUUCGGGAAACCGGAGCUAAUACCGGAUAAUAUUUUGAACCGCAUGGUUCAAAAGUGAAAGACGGUCUUGCUGUCACUUAUAGAUGGAUCCGCGCUGCAUUAGCUAGUUGGUAAGGUAACGGCUUACCAAGGCAACGAUGCAUAGCCGACCUGAGAGGGUGAUCGGCAACACUGGAACUGAGACACGGUCCAGACUCCUACGGGAGGCAGCAGUAGGGAAUCUUCCGCAAUGGGCGAAAGCCUGACGGAGCAACGCCGCGUGAGUGAUGAAGGUCUUCGGAUCGUAAAACUCUGUUAUUAGGGAAGAACAUAUGUGUAAGUAACUGUGCACAUCUUGACGGUACCUGAUCAGAAAGCCACGGCUAACUACGUG